This 463-nucleotide ribosomal RNA is filed under the name uncultured bacterium. RNAcentral's name for it is "partial 16S ribosomal RNA". It matches the Rfam family "Bacterial small subunit ribosomal RNA", at positions 28 to 507 of the family's 1533-position model. The record is from RNAcentral.
GAUGAACGCUGACAGAAUGCUUAACACAUGCAAGUCUUUGGCGAAUCUGUGCUUGCACAGGCUAGCCAAGGCGGACGGGUGAGUAACGCGUAAAGAACUUGCCCUGCAGACAGGGAUAACAGACGGAAACGACUGAUAACACCUGAUACAGUUGCCGGCACGCAUGUGCCUGGCAAUGAAAAGAGAUGCUGCAGGAGAGCUUUGCGUCCUAUUAGCUUGUUGGUGAGGUGACGGCUCACCAAGGCGAUGAUAGGUAGCCGGCCUGAGAGGGUGAACGGCCACAAGUGGACUGGGAGGCGGCCGUUACGACUACGGGAGGCAGCAGUGGAGAAUAUUGGACAAUGGGGGCAACACUGAUCCAGCAAUUCUGUGUGCACGAAGAAGGUUUUCGGAUUGAAAAGUGCUUUCAGCAGGGAAGAAGAAAGUGACGGUACCUGCAGAAGAAGCGACGGCUAAAUACGUG